CCCUCUAAUCAGGGACUGAUUUAGACCUGGGACACCAGGUGGGUGAUUCCCCUCUAAUCAGGGACUGAUUUAGACCUGGGACACCAGGUGGGUGAUUCCCCUCUAAUCAGGGACUGAUUUAGACCUGGGACACCAGGUGGGUGAUUCCCCUCUAUUCAGGGACUGAGUUAGACCUGGGACACCAGGUGGGUGAUUCCCCUCUAAUCAGGGACUGAUUUAGACCUGGGACACCAGGUGGGUGAUUCCCCUCUAAUCAGGGACUGAUUUAGACCUGGGACACCAGGUGGGUGAUUCCCCUCUAAUCAGGGACUGAUUUAGACCUGGGACACCAAGUGGGUGAUUCCCCUCUAAUCAGGGACUGAUUUAGACCUGGGACACCAGGUGGGUGAUUCCCCUCUAAUCAGGGACUGAUUUAGACCUGGGACACCAGGUGGGUGAUUCCCCUCUAAUCAGGGACUGAUUUAGACCUGGGACACCAGGUGGGUGAUUCCCCUCUAAUCAGGGACUGAGUUAGACCUGGGACACCAUGUGGGUGAUUCCCCUCUAAUCAGGGACUGAUU
Long non-coding RNA from Oncorhynchus keta (chum salmon), 560 nucleotides. RefSeq lists it as uncharacterized. The record is from RefSeq and is a predicted model, not a curated record. NCBI's taxonomy places the organism in Eukaryota, Metazoa, Chordata, Actinopteri, Salmoniformes, Salmonidae. The transcript is spliced from 5 exons.